RNAcentral lists this ribosomal RNA (323 nucleotides) under Capnocytophaga sp. oral taxon D86. RNAcentral's name for it is "bacterial SSU rRNA". It matches the Rfam family "Bacterial small subunit ribosomal RNA", at positions 154 to 496 of the family's 1533-position model. Lineage: Bacteria; Pseudomonadati; Bacteroidota; Flavobacteriia; Flavobacteriales; Flavobacteriaceae. The record is from RNAcentral.
AAAUUUGGAUUAAUACCUAAUAGUAUAUAGAUGUGGCAUCACAUUUAUAUUAAAGCUGAGGCGGUGAAAGAUGAGUAUGCGUUCUAUUAGCUAGUUGGAGAGGUAACAGCUCCCCAAGGCGACGAUAAUGGGUUUAAGGAAUCCCCCCCUGGUAACGGCCACUCCUACGGGAGGCAGCAGUGAGGAAUAUUAGACAUGGUCGGAAGACUGAUCCAGCCAUGCCGCGUGCAGGAAGACGGCCUUAUGGGUUGUAAACUGCUUUUGCAGGGGAAGAGUAAGGACUACGUGUAGUUUGAUGACGGUACUCUGCGAAUAAGCAUCGG